This 600-nucleotide ribosomal RNA is filed under the name uncultured archaeon. Its description in RNAcentral is "bacterial SSU rRNA". It matches the Rfam family "Archaeal small subunit ribosomal RNA", at positions 183 to 785 of the family's 1478-position model. The record is from RNAcentral.
UGGUCCAAACAGUUACUGCCAUGGGAUGGGACUGCGGCCUAUCAGCUUGUUGGUGAGGUAAUGGCCCACCAAGGCGAUUACAGGUACGGGCUCUGAGAGGAGAAGCCCGGAGAUGGGUACUGAGACACGGACCCAGGCCCUAUGGGGCGCAGCAGGCGAGAAACCUUUAGCAAUGUGCGAAAGCACGACUGGGUCAGUCCGAGUGAUUCCUGAUAAAGGAGUCUUUUGCCUGUCCUAAAAACACAGGUGAAUAAGGGGUGGGCAAGUCUGGUGUCAGCCGCCGCGGUAAUACCAGCACCUCGAGUGGUCAGGACGUUUAUUGGGCCUAAAGCAUCCGUAGCCAGCGCUGCAAGUCUUCGGUUAAAUCCACCUGCUCAACAGAUGGGCUGCUGGAGAUACUACAGCGCUAGGGAGUGGGAGAGGCAGACGGUAUUCAGUGGGUAGGGGUAAAAUCCUCUGAUCCAUUGAGGACCACCAGUGGCGAAGGCGGUCUGCCAGAACACGUUCGACGGUGAGGGAUGAAAGCUGGGGGAGCAAACCGGAUUAGAUACCCGGGUAGUCCCAGCUGUAAACGAGGCAAACUCGGUGAUGCAUUGGCUU